Molecule: ribosomal RNA, 393 nt
Filed under: uncultured bacterium
Lineage: Bacteria
Description: partial 16S ribosomal RNA
Rfam family: Bacterial small subunit ribosomal RNA
Source: RNAcentral
AUACGGAGGAUCCGAGCGUUAUCCGGAUUUAUUGGGUUUAAAGGGUGCGCAGGCGGGAGAUUAAGUCGGCGGUGAAAUUUUGCAGCUCAACUGUAAAAGUGCCUUCGAAACUGGUUUCCUUGAGUGUAGAUGAAGUAGGCGGAAUUUGUGGUGUAGCGGUGAAAUGCAUAGAUAUCACGAGGAACUCCGAUUGCGCAGGCAGCUUACUAAACUACUACUGACGCUCAGGCACGAAGGCGUGGGGAUCAAACAGGAUUAGAUACCCUGGUAGUCCACGCAGUAAACGAUGAUUACCAGCUGUUUGCGAUACAAUGUAAGCGGCUGAGCGAAAGCGUUAAGUAAUCCACCUGGGGAGUACGGUCGCAAGAAUGAAACUCAAAUGAAUUGACGGGG